AGAGUUUGAUCAUGGCUCAGGAUGAACGCUAGCUACAGGCUUAACACAUGCAGGUCGAGGGGCAUCAGUUUGGUUUGCUUGCAAACCAAAGCUGGCGACCGGCGCACGGGUGAGUAACACGUAUCCAACCCGCCUCAUACUCGGGGAUAGCCUUUCGAAAGAAAGAUUAAUAUCCGAUAGCAUAUAUUUCCCGCAUGGGUUUUAUAUUAAAGAAAUUCGGUAUGAGAUGGGGAUGCGUUCCAUUAGUUGUUGGCGGGGUAACGGCCACCAAGACUACGAUGGAUAGGGGUUCUGAGAGGAAGGUCCCCCACAUUGGAACUGAGACACGGUCCAAACUCCUACGGGAGGCA
This 350-nucleotide ribosomal RNA is filed under the name uncultured bacterium. Its description in RNAcentral is "bacterial SSU rRNA". It matches the Rfam family "Bacterial small subunit ribosomal RNA", at positions 8 to 350 of the family's 1533-position model. The record is from RNAcentral.